RNAcentral lists this long non-coding RNA (877 nucleotides) under Melopsittacus undulatus (budgerigar). Its description in RNAcentral is "lncRNA (ENSMUNG00000004988.2)". The record is from RNAcentral. Lineage: Eukaryota; Metazoa; Chordata; Aves; Psittaciformes; Psittaculidae.
CUCUACUAGAAGAAUGAAAAGGUGGAGCCUCAUGCUCUCUAUUGGUGGACUAAGAAGACUGUAAGAAAGCUGGAUGAAGGGUUGCAGCUACAUGAGAAGUGGCUCAGAGUAUUUUCUGAAAAAGUCCUGCAGUGCAGAGGAGUCAAACAUUUGAUCACAUGCAGCAGCACAAGAUAGAUGGAGUACAGCUGACUCAACAGCUACAGGGGAUUUGGAAUGGAAACAAUCACUUGCUUGAAGGAAACAAUGUUAUCCAACUUGUGGUGUCAGUCAGCCUAUUCCCACAGUCACUGCAUUGAUGGAGGAAAAUUUUGUUUAUAAAGAAGGGGGAGAUGUGUGGAAUCCUGCACAAGAAGCUGCACCAGUAGACUUGGACGAGAGCCCAGACAUCUGGACUCUUAUCAGCCACAAACCCUGGGAGAAGUGAGCGGGACAAGUCGGGAAGAACAGGAAAAAGAACAUCAGGUGGAACCGAAGAAAGAGCAUAAAGGUAAUUUCUGAGGACUGUACAUUUGGAAACAGCAGGAUGCUUAGGCAAGAUAAAGAAUGUGUAGUCAAGGGGAAGUGGAAAUGACAAUGCGGCGAGUAGUGAUAGCAGAGAACUAUGUUUAGAAAUAAUUACUCAAGCAAAGGCGUGUUGACAGUAAUGUGAUUGGCUGGAAGAGUGCGUGAUCAGUAAGACUUUUUUGUGAUCAAAAAGUAGCAAAAGAAUUAACUGCUGCUAAGCACUAGGCAGAAUACUAUAAAAACCUGUAAGCUCACUCAAUAAAGGAUUUUGUUUGUAGCCAGAAAUGGAAUCUAUGCCUCAGCUGACACAAGAUCAGGCAUGGCAACGGAUGCCAUCCCAUUGAAAGGACGACCCGUGUGCAGUAGGGAC